Molecule: ribosomal RNA, 552 nt
Filed under: Triticum aestivum (bread wheat)
Lineage: Eukaryota; Viridiplantae; Streptophyta; Magnoliopsida; Poales; Poaceae
Description: partial small subunit ribosomal RNA
Source: RNAcentral
AUGCUUUCUAGGUCGAUCGGCGUUGAUGUCGAGUAUACGAGGGAAGAUGAACCUCCGCAAAAGGCUGCAGUUCUACAGUUAUGCGUGGAGGAUCUCGUCCUGGUAUACCACAUCACCGCGGCAACCAAAUGGCCCAAGGAACUCUGCCCGCUCCUGCAGGAGAAGAAGAUGUACACCUUUGUUGGCUUCUCCAUUGGAGGUGACAAGGAGAAGCUGAAAUUGUCUGGUUUGGAGAUCAACCCCGACAAGUACGUCGACAUGCAACGCAAAUGGAGAGUUCCAAACAAUGGAAAGAAGUGGCAGGCUUUGGCUGAGUUUGCAGCCAGCCUCAUCCACCCAUCGUACAAGGAAAUGAAGCAGAAGAUCAACAAGGAAUUGGACCACAAACUAUGGGGGGACAGCCCACUGCCAAACAACCUCAUCGAGUACGCAGCAAAAGAUGCGUACGUCACCUACGAGGCAUGGAAGAAAAUCGAAAUCAUCAAAGAAGGUUUGGAGUACUGGCAACAGGCGGAGGAUCAUUGGGAUGACCCCUACUACUGGGGAUAUUGA